GUGUUAGCUAGUAGCACAUAUACUAAAACUGAAACAAUACAGAGAGUAUUAGCAUGGUCUCUAUUGUAAGAAUGAUAUGCAAAUUCAAGAAUGUGUUCCAUGUCAUU
Small nuclear RNA from Sorex araneus (European shrew), 107 nucleotides. Lineage: Eukaryota; Metazoa; Chordata; Mammalia; Eulipotyphla; Soricidae. The record is from Ensembl.